CCAUUGCAUGGAUAGUUCUUGAUCACGAUCUGAGAUCUAUGGAUAUCUUUGAGAUUUUUUGAAGCCACACACGCAUCUGACCUCUAUAGAUAUCCAUACAAAGCUGAUCUCGAUCAGCCAUCAGGUUGCUAGCUCUCCUACAAGUUUCUCUCAUUCAAUAGUUUGAUCUAUCUUCUUCUUUUUGUCUUUUUCUUUCGUAAGAAAUCCAAAAAAGAAAACAAGAGGAUGAAGAGGGAGAAGAUGCAUG
Molecule: long non-coding RNA, 247 nt
Filed under: Elaeis guineensis (African oil palm)
Lineage: Eukaryota; Viridiplantae; Streptophyta; Magnoliopsida; Arecales; Arecaceae
Description: long non-coding RNA (EGUI_LNC057740)
Source: RNAcentral